RNAcentral lists this ribosomal RNA (348 nucleotides) under Triticum aestivum (bread wheat). RNAcentral's name for it is "partial small subunit ribosomal RNA". Lineage: Eukaryota; Viridiplantae; Streptophyta; Magnoliopsida; Poales; Poaceae. The record is from RNAcentral.
AUGAAGUCACGGAAUCUCACAAAGGACAUAAAGGACAUGAUAACUGGGAUGCAGCUUAGUCCUGAUGGGUCGUACCUCCUCACCAAAAACUGCAACAUCAAGACCUUUACAGGACACCAGCACAACUUUGAGAAGAUACUGUUGAAGUGCAGCUGGUCACCCGACAAUCGCAAGGUCACUGCUGGGAGUGCUGAUCGUAUGGUCUACAUCUGGGACAUGACAUCAAGGCGGAUCCUGUACAAGCUUCCUGGGCACAACGGUUCCGUUAAUGAGACCGCUUUCCAUCCCACCGAGCCCAUCAUCGGAUCCUGCGGCAGCGACAAGCAGAUUUAUCUCGGGGAGCUUUAG